GGUGCCUGGGCCGGGCGGUUAGGUAACGGUCUGCAAAACCGUGUAGGGCGGUUCGAUUCCGCCAGGCACCU
RNAcentral lists this transfer RNA (71 nucleotides) under Prevotella amnii. RNAcentral's name for it is "tRNA-Cys". It matches the Rfam family "tRNA". From Rfam's summary of the family: Transfer RNA (tRNA) molecules are approximately 80 nucleotides in length. Their secondary structure includes four short double-helical elements and three loops (D, anti-codon, and T loops). The record is from RNAcentral. RNAcentral also lists the same sequence under 3 other names. Lineage: Bacteria; Pseudomonadati; Bacteroidota; Bacteroidia; Bacteroidales; Prevotellaceae.